This 2898-nucleotide ribosomal RNA is filed under the name Clostridioides difficile. Its description in RNAcentral is "23S ribosomal RNA". It matches the Rfam family "Bacterial large subunit ribosomal RNA". The record is from RNAcentral. Lineage: Bacteria; Bacillati; Bacillota; Clostridia; Peptostreptococcales; Peptostreptococcaceae.
GGUCAAGUUAUUAAGGGUGUAGGGCGGAUGCCUUGGCACUAGGAGCCGAUGAAGGACGUGAUAAGCUGCGAUAAGCUUCGGGGAGUUGCACGUAAACUUUGAUCCGAAGAUUUCCGAAUGAGGAAACUCACUUAGAGUAAUGUCUAAGUAUCAUUAAGUGAAUACAUAGCUUAAUGAGGGGAACUCAGGGAACUGAAACAUCUAAGUACCUGAAGGAAGAGAAAGAAAUUCGAUUCCGUAAGUAGCGGCGAGCGAACGCGGAUUAGCCCAAACCAAUAAAGUUUUCUUUAUUGGGGUUGCGGACAUAUCAUAACGAAGAGGUAUCGUAAUUGAAGAGGUUUGGAAAGACCCACCACAGAAGGUAAUAGUCCUGUAUGUUAAACGAGAAGACUUUAGAUAUGAUCCAGAGUACCACGGGACACGUGAAACCCUGUGGGAAGCAGGAGGGACCACCCUCCAAGGCUAAAUACUACCUAGUGACCGAUAGCGUAUAGUACCGUGAGGGAAAGGUGAAAAGAACCCCGGGAGGGGAGUGAAAUAGAACCUGAAACCCUGCACUUACAAGCUGUGGAAGCACAUUUCUUGUGUGACCGCGUACUUUUUGUAGAACGGGCCAACGAGUUACGUUAAGUAGCAAGGUUAAGCACUUAAGGUGCGGAGCCGUAGCGAAAGCGAGUUUUAACUGAGCGUUCAGUUACUUGACGUAGACCCGAAACCGGGCGACCUACCCAUGAGCAGGAUGAAGCGAAAGUAAAAUUUCGUGGAGGUCCGAACCCACGAGCGUUGAAAAGCUCGGGGAUGACUUGUGGGUAGCGGUGAAAUUCCAAUCGAGCCCGGAGAUAGCUGGUUCUCCCCGAAAUAGCUUUAGGGCUAGCCUCAAGGUGAGAGAUACGGAGGUAGAGCACUGAAUGUCCUAGGGGGUAUUGCACCUACCGAAGACUAUCAAACUCCGAAUGCCGUCAUCUUAUACUUGGGAGUCAGACUGUGGGUGAUAAGAUUCAUAGUCGAAAGGGCAACAGCCCAGAUCGUCAGCUAAGGUCCCUAAAUGUAAGUUAAGUGGUAAAGGAUGUGGGAUUGCACAGACAACCAGGAUGUUGGCUUAGAAGCAGCCACUCAUUCAAAGAGUGCGUAAUAGCUCACUGGUCGAGUGAUCCUGCGCCGAAGAUUUCCGGGGCUAAAACUUACUACCGAAGCUACGGCAUCAGUAAUGAUGGGUAGGGGAGCUUCCCAUACGGGUUGAAGCAUGACCGUAAGGACAUGUGGACAGUAUGGGAGUGAGAAUGUUGGCAUGAGUAGCGAGAUGUGGGUGAGAAUCCCACAGGCCGUAAACCCAAGGUUUCCAGGGGAAGGUUCGUCCGCCCUGGGUUAGUCGGGACCUAAGCUGAGGCCGAAAGGCGUAGGUGAUGGACAACAGGUUGAUAUUCCUGUACUACCGAUAACCGUUUGAGAGAAGGGAUGACACAGUAGGAUAAGCUAAGCACACUGUUGGUUAUGUGUGCCCAAGCAUUGAGGCAGUCAAAGUAGGCAAAUCCGCUUUGAUAAUGCUGGGAUGUGAUGGGGAGCGAAAUUUAGUAGCGAAGUAGCUGAUUUCACACUGUCAAGAAAAGUCUCUAUCGAGGUUAAAGGUACCCGUACCGCAAACCGACACAGGUGGGUGAGGAGAGUAUCCUAAGGCCAGCGAGAGAACUGUUGUUAAGGAACUCGGCAAAAUGACCCCGUAACUUAGGGAUAAGGGGUGCCACCAUCAGGUGGCCGCAGAGAAUAGGCCCAAGCGACUGUUUACCAAAAACAUAGGUUUCUGCUAAGUCGCAAGACGAUGUAUAGGAGCUGACGCCUGCCCGGUGCUGGAAGGUUAAGGGGAUCUGUUAGAGCAAUCGAAGCAGUGAACUUAAGCCCCAGUAAACGGCGGCCGUAACUAUAACGGUCCUAAGGUAGCGAAAUUCCUUGUCGGGUAAGUUCCGACCCGCACGAAAGGCGUAACGAUUUGGGCACUGUCUCAACAACAGACUCGGUGAAAUUGUAAUUCCGGUGAAGAUGCCGGAUACCUGCGACAGGACGGAAAGACCCCAUGGAGCUUUACUGUAGCUUGACAUUGGGUCUUGGUACUACAUGUACAGGAUAGGUGGGAGGCUUUGAAACCAGGACGCCAGUUUUGGCGGAGCCAUCCUUGGGAUACCACCCUUGUAGUACUGGGACUCUAACCAUAGGCCAUGAAUCUGGUCUUGGGACACUGUCAGGUGGGCAGUUUGACUGGGGCGGUCGCCUCCCAAAAGGUAACGGAGGCGCUCAAAGGUUCUCUCAGUACGGUCGGAAAUCGUACGUAGAGUGUAAAGGCAAAAGAGAGCUUGAUUGCAAGACAUACAGGUCGAGCAAGGAUGAAAAUCGGACUUAGUGAUCCGGUGGUUCUGCGUGGAAGGGCCAUCGCUCAACGGAUAAAAGCUACCCUGGGGAUAACAGGCUUAUCUCCCCCAAGAGUCCACAUCGACGGGGAGGUUUGGCACCUCGAUGUCGGCUCAUCACAUCCUGGGGCUGUAGUAGGUCCCAAGGGUUGGGCUGUUCGCCCAUUAAAGUGGUACGCGAGCUGGGUUCAGAACGUCGUGAGACAGUUCGGUCCCUAUCCGUCGCAGGCGUAGGAAAUUUGAGAAGACCUGUCCUUAGUACGAGAGGACCGGGAUGGACGUACCUCUGGUGUACCAGUUGUCCUGCCAAGGGCAUGGCUGGGUAGCUAUGUACGGAAUGGAUAAGCGCUGAAAGCAUCUAAGCGCGAAGCCAACUUCAAGAUAAGAUUUCCCACCGCAAGGGUAAGACCCCAGAAAGACUAUCUGGUUGAUAGGUCGAAGGUGUAAGUGCAGCAAUGUAUUUAGCUUAUCGAUACUAAUAGGUCGAGGACUUGACCAA